Molecule: non-coding RNA, 484 nt
Organism: Paramuricea clavata
Lineage: Eukaryota; Metazoa; Cnidaria; Anthozoa; Malacalcyonacea; Plexauridae
Source: the annotation of a GenBank genome assembly
CAGCUGUGACGUUUCUCUGUAAACAUCAUGGAAAAAUUCGAUAGUUUUUAUCUUUGCAGAAUGUAAAAAAGAAAAUAAUUUGAUACAAACUGCAGUCUAUACAUUCGUAAUAGCAUACCUGUUCUACACGUAUACAUCUAUAUUAUUACGCCUUCCUUGCAUUGCAAACACUCAAAUUUCAAGAAAAACGCGCUAAAAUUAUCGAUAUUUCAUGCAAAAAAAGUUGUUUUGAGAAACGUUGGAAAUUUUGAAGUUCAUAUUUAUAAUAAAAAAGUGUAUGCCAGCAGAAAAUGACAUAUUCCUCGCGGAAGCAUCUAGCCGACCGAAAAAAAAUAGUAGUGGAAAAUUACCUUAUGGCUAGGAACAAAAUAUCGAUAACUAUGUGUGACGUUUCUAAGGGGGGGUGGGGGUGUCUCCAGAGAAACGAACAUAUGACGUUUCUCAUGGACAAAAUCGAUAUGUGAGGCUUCCCUUAUGACAAAGG